This 709-nucleotide long non-coding RNA is filed under the name Olea europaea (common olive). Its description in RNAcentral is "long non-coding RNA (OEUR_LNC015539)". The record is from RNAcentral. Lineage: Eukaryota; Viridiplantae; Streptophyta; Magnoliopsida; Lamiales; Oleaceae.
UCAAACUCUGGAACUUGCCUCACAAUACCAACUAAUUAUAGGUUCAUAAUAACAAUUGGCAUCAAACAAUUAUAAAAAUGAACUUCACUACAUAUGGGAUAACUAGAGUAGCAAUCAGUUAGCUUGGUCACCAUGAAAGUUAGGUGAGUAACAAGAAAAAUGUAUUUUAACACAGUCUUAACUAAAUUGAAAUGCCGAAACAAGUUUACACAACAAUACGAGACAAAAGAUGUAAUUUCCUAAAUCCCCAUGUAAUAACAAUUCUCACACUAACCCCUUUUGCAUUUCCUUCCGCGUUUCCAUUCACCUUGCUAAUUGUCACGAUCAUCGAAAUUCAUAGUUCUUCUUCGUCAUUGAGGCGAACUCAAGAUUAGAACAUGCGUUCCACAUCUUCAACUGUUUAGUUCGUCGCUAGGUUAACUGAGGAAGUGCUAAUGGUAGAGGAUUGGCCGAUUGAUGAUUCUUCUUUCACAACCUAGUCCCAAAAUCCAUACUUGGCACUGCAACAAAGGAAUAAUCGCCUUUAUAGACUAUCUCUUUCUCUACCAUGAAACAGUUCUCGAAUCCAUGCUUGCAUAAUGGGCAUCGACGUUUUCGUGGACAUUCAACAAAGGAGUGGCCCUUAGCUCUAUAACUGUGACAAAUUCCAUAAUUCUGUCCACCCAUUCUACGAGGAGAAUAAACCACAUAUCACGGUCAGCAUGAAANN